GUGGGGAAUCUUGCGCAAUGGGCGAAAGCCUGACGCAGCCAUGCCGCGUGAAUGAUGAAGGUCUUAGGAUUGUAAAAUUCUUUCACCGGGGACGAUAAUGACGGUACCCGGAGAAGAAGCCCCGGCUAACUUCGUGCCAGCAGCCGCGGUAAUACGAAGGGGGCUAGCGUUGCUCGGAAUUACUGGGCGUAAAGGGCGCGUAGGCGGAUCGUUAAGUCAGGGGUGAAAUCCCAGAGCUCAACUCUGGAACUGCCCUUGAUACUGGCGAUCUUGAGUGUGAGAGAGGUAUGUGGAACUCCGAGUGUAGAGGUGAAAUUCGUAGAUAUUCGGAAGAACACCAGUGGCGAAGGCGACAUACUGGCUCAUUACUGACGCUGAGGCGCGAAAGCGAGGGGAGCAAAAGGGAUUAGAAACCCCGGUAGUCC
Molecule: ribosomal RNA, 425 nt
Filed under: uncultured bacterium
Lineage: Bacteria
Description: partial 16S ribosomal RNA
Rfam family: Bacterial small subunit ribosomal RNA
Source: RNAcentral